Molecule: long non-coding RNA, 405 nt
Organism: Vespa mandarinia (Asian giant hornet)
Lineage: Eukaryota; Metazoa; Arthropoda; Insecta; Hymenoptera; Vespidae
Source: RefSeq, a predicted model, not a curated record
AACGAAGGCAACCGCUCUUCUGUAAAUCGGCAGAUUUAGUUCUUAGUUGUUAGUUCAGUUAUGAACGGUCUAAUACUUAGGAGAAACAACCGAGAAAAAUAUUUCGUCGUCGAGGAUGCAUAUCGACGAGGUUUAGCCGUGGGUAACGACCGCUAUCGGUAAUAUAAUAAUAUGCCAGCGCCAUUCGGAUCCUCCCAGAAGGCAUCCAGCCUUGUUUUUCCCAGCUGAUUCACAGAUGUUAGACAAUGACAACACAAUAUUUAAUAGACAAGUAACGGCCGACGACGAGGAUAACUGAUCGAAAAGAUAUUUAUCUUAUCUAAGAUGAAAAUUAUGGGACGUUUACCAAAGUUAUUCAUAACUCAUUAGAGUGCGAAUGCGAUUACGGUUAUAAAUAUUUCUAAC